This is a long non-coding RNA of Amphiprion ocellaris (clown anemonefish), 684 nucleotides long. RefSeq lists it as uncharacterized. The transcript is spliced from 2 exons. Lineage: Eukaryota; Metazoa; Chordata; Actinopteri; Pomacentridae. The record is from RefSeq and is a predicted model, not a curated record.
CCAGCAGCGCAGAGGAAGCAACAGGUGUUCCCUAUCUGCCACAAUUAGCCAGCUCAUGGACAGGUGGCGUGCAACCAGUCAAGCUUGAUUCCUGCUGCAUAAAACCAGACACGACCCAGCUCUCACUGCCGGAGCGUAAAAGAAAAGAAAGAAAGUCAUGUUCCUUCUGGACCCAUCCGGUCCUGCCGUCAGCACUGGACCCUGGACCCUCCGAUCAAAGGAAACUCUCACCUGAGCCGACUCCCCCCUUUUGGUGUCCUUCCCCACUCACCUGUUGCUGCUCCAAACCCUGACUGCCACCGCUGUGAGCCAGUUGGGAGCAUUCCCAGCAUACUUCUUGGAGCUGGGAUGCUGACAGAAUACGUACGUUUGGCACCAACAGAUCCCAUCAUACGGCAUCCACUUGAUAGACGCAGCUGGUCCACUUUGGUGCAGAAACUUCACCCUCACAUCCUGCUGCUCUUCAUCCUCUUCGGUGGUGAAACCAGCCGCCAUUUUCCGCUUUUUUUGUUUGUUUCCUGCUUCAGACGAAUACAACAACCUUUCAUAAAAGCUGAAAUAGUCUUCAAACAGUCAGUGGUGGGGAAUUAGCUGGGGGAAAAAAUACUGAUUCUAAUGUAUUCAACACUGUCUGGCACAAAUUGGGAAAAAGAGCUCUAAAAGUUGCUGGACCUGUAACACCAA